RNAcentral lists this ribosomal RNA (725 nucleotides) under Bacillus anthracis (anthrax bacterium). Its description in RNAcentral is "bacterial SSU rRNA". It matches the Rfam family "Bacterial small subunit ribosomal RNA", at positions 57 to 763 of the family's 1533-position model. Lineage: Bacteria; Bacillati; Bacillota; Bacilli; Caryophanales; Bacillaceae. The record is from RNAcentral.
GCAAGUCGAGCGAUGGAUUAAGAGCUUGCUCUUAUGAAGUUAGCGGCGGACGGGUGAGUAACACGUGGGUAACCUGCCCAUAAGACUGGGAUAACUCCGGGAAACCGGGGCUAAUACCGGAUAACAUUUUGAACCGCAUGGUUCGAAAUUGAAAGGCGGCUUCGGCUGUCACUUAUGGAUGGACCCGCGUCGCAUUAGCUAGUUGGUGAGGUAACGGCUCACCAAGGCAACGAUGCGUAGCCCACCUGAGAGGGUGAUCGGCCACACUGGGACUGAGACACGGCCCAGACUCCUACGGGAGGCAGCAGUAGGGAAUCUUCCGCAAUGGACGAAAGUCUGACGGAGCAACGCCGCGUGAGUGAUGAAGGCUUUCGGGUCGUAAAACUCUGUUGUUAGGGAAGAACAAGUGCUAGUUGAAUAAGCUGGCACCUUGACGGUACCUAACCAGAAAGCCACGGCUAACUACGUGCCAGCAGCCGCGGUAAUACGUAGGUGGCAAGCGUUAUCCGGAAUUAUUGGGCGUAAAGCGCGCGCAGGUGGUUUCUUAAGUCUGAUGUGAAAGCCCACGGCUCAACCGUGGAGGGUCAUUGGAAACUGGGAGACUUGAGUGCAGAAGAGGAAAGUGGAAUUCCAUGUGUAGCGGUGAAAUGCGUAGAGAUAUGGAGGAACACCAGUGGCGAAGGCGACUUUCUGGUCUGUAACUGACACUGAGGCGCGAAAGCGUG